RNAcentral lists this ribosomal RNA (427 nucleotides) under uncultured bacterium. Its description in RNAcentral is "partial 16S ribosomal RNA". It matches the Rfam family "Bacterial small subunit ribosomal RNA", at positions 355 to 774 of the family's 1533-position model. The record is from RNAcentral.
UGGGGAAUAUUGCACAAUGGGCGCAAGCCUGAUGCAGCCAUGCCGCGUGUAUGAAGAAGGCCUUCGGGUUGUAAAGUACUUUCAGCGGGGAGGAAGGUGUUGAGGUUAAUAACCUCAGCAAUUGUCGUUACCCGCAGAAGAAGCACCGGCUAACUCCGUGCCAGCAGCCGCGGUAAUACGGAGGGUGCAAGCGUUAAUCGGAAUUACUGGGCGUAAAGCGCACGCAGGCGGUCUGUCAAGUCGGAUGUGAAAUCCCCGGGCUCAACCUGGGAACUGCAUUCGAAACUGGCAGGCUAGAGUCUUGUAGAGGGGGGUAGAAUUCCAGGUGUAGCGGUGAAAUGCGUAGAGAUCUGGAGGAAUACCGGUGGCGAAGGCGGCCCCCUGGACAAAGACUGACGCUCAGGUGCGAAAGCGUGGGGAGCAAACA